Small nucleolar RNA from Astyanax mexicanus (Mexican tetra), 139 nucleotides. It matches the Rfam family "Small nucleolar RNA SNORA68". From Rfam's summary of the family: U68 is a member of the H/ACA class of small nucleolar RNAs (snoRNAs) which act as guides in the the modification of uridines to pseudouridines. NCBI's taxonomy places the organism in Eukaryota, Metazoa, Chordata, Actinopteri, Characiformes, Acestrorhamphidae. The record is from Rfam.
UCUGCACACCAACCCAAGGGUCGUUAUCAUGCUUGGUUGUGAUGACCCACGCAGCGCGUGCGUAAAGAAACGUCAGAGCCUUGUCGCCUUUUAUAGGCCGUCUUCGUGCCGAUAGAAGUGAAUUCAAGGUCCUACAUUC